This 533-nucleotide ribosomal RNA is filed under the name Capra hircus (goat). Its description in RNAcentral is "partial 12S ribosomal RNA". It matches the Rfam family "Bacterial small subunit ribosomal RNA", at positions 44 to 957 of the family's 1533-position model. The record is from RNAcentral. Lineage: Eukaryota; Metazoa; Chordata; Mammalia; Artiodactyla; Bovidae.
CAGACUUACACAUGCAAGCAUCCACGCCCCGGUGAGUAACGCCCUCCAAAUCAAUAAGACUAAGAGGAGCAGGUAUCAAGCACACAUCUUGUAGCUUACAACGCCUCGCUUAACCACACCCCUACGGGAGACAGCAGUGACAAAAAUUAAGCCAUAAACGAAAGUUUGACUAAGCCAUGUUGACCAGGGUUGGUAAAUCUCGUGCCAGCCACCGCGGUCAUACGAUUAACCCAAGCUAACAGGAAUACGGCGUAAAACGUGUUAAAGCACUACAUCAAAUAGAGUUAAAUUCUAAUUAAACUGUAAAAAGCCAUAAUUACAACAAAAAUAGAUGACGAAAGUAACCCUACUGCAGCUGAUACACUAUAGCUAAGACCCAAACUGGGAUUAGAUACCCCACUAUGCUUAGCCCUAAACACAAAUAAUUACAGAAACAAAAUUAUUCGCCAGAGUACUACCGGCAACAGCCCGAAACUCAAAGGACUUGGCGGUGCUUUAUACCCUUCUAGAGGAGCCUGUUCUAUAAUCGAUAA